Long non-coding RNA from Mesocricetus auratus (golden hamster), 4959 nucleotides. RefSeq lists it as uncharacterized. The transcript has 3 exons. Lineage: Eukaryota; Metazoa; Chordata; Mammalia; Rodentia; Cricetidae. The record is from RefSeq and is a predicted model, not a curated record.
UCAAGCUAUAUUAUGUGAGGAGAUUUUUAAAAACAACCUAGUUUUCAAUAAAAAGAUUGAAAAUUAUAAAUGAAAAUUAAAAGCAAAAAACCCUGAAAAGGAAAGAAAAUAAAUAUAAAAGAUUGAUACCUGUGAAAUUAAAAGAAAAAAGAGGAUUUCUCAGGUUUUCAUGAUUACCAUGGAGUAAGUGAUGAAUUAUUUAAGACUUCAGAUGCCUGCUUCAUUCUAGAAAUGCUAGUCUGGAUGCUCUAAAGCAGGGCCUGCCUGGGGAAUGCGAGUUUUUCAGACGCGUGUCCAUGUGUGAUUCUGCUGCAGAUGUCCUCUGGCUCGGAAUUUGGAAGCACUCCUGGAAUGAAUAAGUUAAGUGCGGCGUGGGUUUUGUUCAUAGUUCAUCAUUCUUAGUCAUUAGUGUGAAGAACGUCUACUAAAUGGUGACCAUAUUGUGUAGCAGUUGGUAAUGAAAGCCUAGAGUCACUGCGUUUGGUCAAACCACUCUCUCACAGUCACAGGAACACCCCACCUUGAGAAUGUCUGCUACUCCAGUCCAUAUGUUUUUUUUUUCUCUUUUCAGGAAUACUUCAAUAAAUAACGCUGUUCAGUGAGCCAGUGGUGUGGUGGACAUAUGGAUAGCAUUUACUGUUGGAUUAACUGGGACAGGUGCCAUUUAUUUGGAUUCUAUCUCUUAAUUGAUGGCAAUGUCAUAGAACAAAAUGAUGCACCAAGACCCUUGCCAAAUUCAUAGCACCCUGGCUUUAGCUGGACAGUUAGAAAGUCAUUUAGCUCACAUAGGUCCCAGAAGAAACUAGCCAUAUUUGAAAAUAGUCAAGAAUUAUGAACCACUUUCUUCCCAAGGGAUAGAAUAGACUAAAACAGCCAAUAAUGUCAGCAUUCUCAACUGAUCCUCUAAACAGAGCAUCCGGGGGGCUCAUCAGUUAGAGUCAGGCAGAAUACAGAAGGGGGGGCUAGUGUCGUAGUUUACAUAAUAAAGCUGAGACCAGGAAAUGUCCAUAUUGAUUUCAUGAGAUGUUAGAAUGUGGGUAGGAUUUCUAACCUAAAUAUUUCUUAGAAAACCACACAUCAAAUUACUUCCUGUGAAACAGACAAAAUCCCACAGAGAUCAAGCAUAGAGUAGGUGAGAGAAAAGGAUGAAGGGAAAUGCAAAACCUCUUGCUCUGCGCAUCCCAGCAGGGCUGUGGGCUCACAAACAGGCCCACUCAGGUACUCCUAAAUGACCCUGCUGUGUUGAAGGCUCACGGAGGCUGCGGUUAUAUGCUAAAACAAAAAGCAUUGGGGAAAUGGACAUUGCAAAUACCAAGCCUCUGUGUGCGCAUUUUGGUGCAGACUAUAUUGAAACAGCAAGGUUCUUACUAUCAGGAUGUCUGAACAUGUGCCAGUAAUAUCUCAGAAUAAAAUGGGUAGGAAAUGAUGGUAAAAUGCAGACGUGCACGCAGGGAUAUUUGGUAAAUGAUAUAUACAUGCACACAGAAGCAGAGCCUCACCCUCUCCACUCCUGGGUCCUCGCAGACUGAUUGGAUGUGGUGAUAGAGGAUCAAAGGGGCUUUCAGGACAGCCAUCCCUCUGACCUUUCCAAAACAGACAAAUACUCAGUGUUGCAUAGAGACAUAACAACAUUUAGUGACAUGGAGACUCUUGUAACAAGACACAGAUGUAAACAACCAAAGGAGCGUUCCCAACAGUGCCGCCUUAAUUGUGGCAGUGGCUUCAUGCCUCUGUUCAAACUAACUGAUAAUUCCAGGCUCUUGUGAGAAUCAAUAGAUCUCUUAAGAAAAGGUUUCCAGGUCACUGACAUUCUGGAACUGUAUAGACCAACCCAGCAUUUGCGAUUUCUAUAAACCAAGGUGAAAAGGUCACCUGCAGUUAGCAGAGCCAGAAGUAGAGGAUGAGACUCCAGCUUGUCACACUCUGCAGGCUCUAGUUCUGCCUGUCAUCUAAGUACGGAACCAUGUGGGCUUUGUGUCACCCUGCUGAUUUCACACAGGCAUGCCUAUUUGUAUGUGGGUAUCCAACUUUCUAACUCCUACGUCCUCAGUCCUUGGCAUGGAAAAAAAACAACCACUGCACUAUGGGUGGAUGAGUGAGUGAGUGAGUGAGUGAGUGAGUGAGUGAGUGAGUGAGUGAAUAAAAUAAUCUUAUCCAUUACUGAUCUUUUCACUUUCAGCGCAUUGUGUCAGGGGAUACUUUUGAAUAUCAACUGAUUUUGAAAGCAUGUGCUUUCAUUUUUAGAUUCCCUUUGCUGUCGUUAUUGUUUUUGAGACAGGGUCUCAUUUUUAUGUAGCCUUGGCUGACCUAGAACACACUGGAUGGCCUCAUACUUACAGUCAUCCCCCUGCCUCUACCUUCUGAAUGCUGAGAUUUUUGUUUUAAUUCACACAUGUGUAUCUAAAGAUGACUCUACCAAUGACAGUACCAUGAUGACUCAAUCAGUAGUCACAAGCUGUAUUCAAAAACAUCCAAACUCAAUUUUACUUUUCAAGGUUUCUUUUAUAUCAUCAAAAUGUUUCUUUCUUCCUCACUUGAGUCCACCACUAACCGACCAUCCUCAAAGAUGUUCCUAUGGUCCUUAGUGCAGCUGAUGAAGAAGCCAAAUGAUUCCUGAAGCCCUGAAGCCCUUCCAGAUACCAAGUGAAGUAACCCAAACAUCAGACUUAAAAUGAUCACAAAAUUGUGAAUGAACGAGGAUACUUUUCUACCUGAGCAGAUGAGGGCCAUUUAUUUCAAACUUGUGGAAGUCAGCAAGCACACACAGCAAAAUACUCAAGGCCUAGAAGAACACACGGUGAAAGCUGAUGGUCCUCUGUCCGCGUCUGUCCUGCAGCGCCUCUCCUUGGUCCUCUGUCUGCAUCUGUCCUCCAGCGUCUCUCCUCUAGGUGGAACAGAAGCUGCUUUGAGAACAGAGAUGGACAGACCUCUGUAUUUUUCAACACCCCCAACAAUCAAAUGGAUCCUUUUUUGCAUUUUCUCUUCCAUCGUCUUAAACUCCUAGGAAGAACACCCAGUAUCCGAAAUGACGCUCUGCAUCGGUGAGGCCUGCCACUAAGCAUCCCAGCCUUGGUCGGUAGGAAUCAUUUUCUACCCCUCAGACCCUGCAAUCUCCAUGUGCAGAGCAGUUCACUCUCGGGCUCCUUUUCUUAGCCGCUACAGAAGCAAAUCCUGCCUCAGCAACCCAGGAGAUCUGUUUUCCUGGCCUAAACACUAAUUGAUUCCUGCUCCUGAGUUCCAGGGCUGAGGAGAAACUGCAUCUCUGCUCAGCAGCGAACUCCUCUUUGCUCGGACCAGGUUCAGCCAGACUUACCCGGGCACCCGGGGAGGCUACGGCAGUGUGGCACUGACCGAGGACUUUGGGGCUCUAGUCCGAAAGAAAUUAGGCCAGAGAUCCAAGAAGCCUAUCUGAGGGGGGGAAUUUGCAAAGUAUGUUUGACCACCGGUCUUCACGCACGAAUCGGGACAGCAGGAGUGAAGGAGACGCCAUAUUCUUAAAAGAGAGGGAAGGCCUGGAAGGCAGUUUGCAAACUGCUUCGUCAUUUCCACUGGCCGAUCUUCAAGGCCAGAGUCCCCUGAUGCAAAUUAAACACUGGCAACUGAGAUGCCACAGGAAGAAUGUUUCCUCACUGUGAACCUCAGUUUCUGUUUCUGGAGGAGAAGUCUACAUCGGGCAUCGUGGAGACAAACUUAGGUAGCAGGCGAGGACACGUCUUAGGAAAACGACACCUUGUAUUUGCAGAGCUCUCAGCACCAGGAGCUGAUGAGCAAUGAUACCGUUAACAGCCAUAUUGUCGGUUAUUCGAUGAGGGUCCAAUAUUGACAGGACAGCAAUUUUUCAAAGAAGAGCUGUGAGGGUUGCAGAUGGCCUACCUCGUCUGUGUUCCAGAUGACACCUGAGGUCGGCCUGCUUGCCUCCUUCCCCCAUUCUCCUUCAGGCUCAUUCACCUGCGCGCACUGUGGAUUCCUGUGGGUCUACGGAACCAACCGAUGGUUCCAAAGGAAUCGUUGUUUCGCUCCUUAGGACAAGUGUAAUGAGAAGAAAGUGCACAGAGACCCCCCCCCAAGGCAGCAAAUGCUUAAUUAACUUCAAAGUGCCAGGGGGAGAGGCUGGAUUAGUCUACACAAAACGGACAAGCACAACCCUUUCCUGACGCCUGGAUACAAGCCAGUCCGGUCGCCUGGGUCAGCAACUAGUCAUUCGUGUUCCGGUUAUGGAAAUGGCGCACAACGUUGAGUAUGGGGUCGCACAGGAUUCUGAAACCUUCUCCAUGUACUCUUGAGGCGGAGGAAUGCUGUGGGCUUUGACAUGCCUACAGUAUUUAGUAGGGUCUGCCCCAUACCAGACUGCCAAGAGAUUUGAGGCCGUUUGGGGCCACUGAGAACCAGACAGUUGUAGAACAUUAGAGCUGGAAGGAAAAUCUUGGGAAUCCCAUUUAACAGCUUGCUUUUCACUUAUUUGGGGUAGGCACAGAACUAGUUUUAUGAAAUAAAGUCCCAUGCAGGAGAGCAGUUAACGCAAUCUGUAAAAAUGAAGUUGUGCCGGGAGGUUGUGGCGCACGCCUUUAAUCCCAGCACUCGGGAGGCAGAGGCAGGCGGAUCUCUGUGAGUUCGAGGCCGGGCUGGACCGACAGCCUCCAAAACAACACAGAGAAACCCUGUCUCGUAAAACCAAAAAAAACAAUUGUAUCCAGCAUCGUGGAGAUGGGGAAGAGCCCUGAGAUAACUCUAGAAACUUUGGAAUCAGAAACACCUGACCAUCAAGGCUGCCAACCUCAUUCUCACCCAGCAGGAGGGAAUAAUGGGAAGUGUUAUCUUUUUGCUUAAAAAAAAAAAAACCUGAUACAUAAUAUAUGGAUACAGUCCUAUGGUCCAGCACAAUAAUAUAUGUAUCCAAUGUACAGUGACAAUCAUCUUUUCUAUAUCCUCAAAUAUGUCCUCAUUAAAAUAAAUAUUCGG